Aethina tumida (small hive beetle) is the source of this 424-nucleotide long non-coding RNA. RefSeq lists it as uncharacterized. Lineage: Eukaryota; Metazoa; Arthropoda; Insecta; Coleoptera; Nitidulidae. The transcript has 3 exons. The record is from RefSeq and is a predicted model, not a curated record.
UUGUUUAUAGUAAAGAUAUCGCGAUAUUCACUUCUUUGCAAGGUUGCUAACAACUCGUUAAACAAAACACAUCGAUCAACAACCAACAAAUCGGGGAGCAUCGAACAACUCAUUCAGUUUCCUUCUGAACAUCGUCCAGUAACAUGGCCAUAGACGAGAAUAAGAUGAUGGGCGGUGGAGAAGUGGUGCUCCAUGUCGAACCCUCCAACGGUGUGAUAACAGUCACAGCCAAAAAGACUCCAGCCGGCGUUAAACCCGUCAAAGUAUUGGAGAUGUUGCCCAUGUCGAUGGCCAACAAGGCGAAGAAGAAGGCCAAAGAACACCAACUGAUGACCCCCAAAACCAAAUAAAUAGUGACUUGUUAAUAUAACAUUUGUAAUGUAGGGACUGUUCAACCUGUUCUUUAUUAAAUAGUUUGAAUUUA